UUCUAGAGGAAGGAAGUUAAAGACAGCAAUCAUUUUACAGAAAAAUCGUCCCAGCGGUGGAAAUCCGAGGUGGGCGAGCCAGCUAGGCUUCCUUUCAGAAUUGGAAGCAAAUCCAAAUCCAUUCACAUCGUCGGUCUGUGUUAUUUAUUUCACCCCUCCCUGAAGUUACCCUUAAGGUUCGCCCAGGGCAGCUGCUGACCCUGGGGCACGAGGCCCCCGCCAUUGUUGAGCAGGGGUGCUGCAGCGUCUCGGGUUCCUGCCGUGUCCUGCCCACUGGGCUCCUGCGGAGCCGUGGUGGCGGGCUGACAUUCACACUACCCAGGCAGCACAACUCAGGGAGAGGUGGAAGAAUACCGAGUUCAAAUGAUUUAACAAAAAAUACUCGAUGUUCCUUUGUCUUGCACCUGGGAGAAAAUGUCACUGUCUUCUAUUAGAGGACAGAGAGAAUGGGAAGGAAGCCGUGGUAGGCGUGGCAAACUUUUGAAACAUUUUGACAGGCGUAAGACUAUUGCGCUCAUAAGACUAUUGCGCUCAUCGAUUUGACUAAAGCGAUGCCAAUUAGCUUUUGAGGUUGGGAUGGAGGCAGCCGAGUGUUAAACAGCCAGCGACUGACUCUGUCCUUUGGCCGUAGCUUGGACUCCAGAACUAUUAGCUGUGUAUCGCCGAGCUGUCUUUAAAGGUAGGAAGGGACACCUCUGCUCCUGGUACCUCUGGACACUCCAGAUGUCCACUCUAUGAGGUGACAUAUCUGUGUGAAAGUAGCCCAUGAGAGAGUGCCAAGGCCAUGGGACAGAGGCCCCAGCAUGUGAGCUCAAACGAGGCAGCAUGGGUCUGAAAGGGUCCUUCUUGAGAUGUGAAAUCUUGGAGCCACAGCCUGAAGGAGCUCGCCUGGUUGAAUAAAGAAAUCACUCAACAAAGGACGCUCCUUCUCCAGCCUGAAGAGGCGCUGACGCCACCUACAGCCUGGAGACCGGCUCUGCAACCAGCACCUGCCAGCCAGUCUGGUGCUGGGGGGAAGAGAUUAGAAUUUAUAUGGGGCAUGGAGAACGGGCAGUCAACUCUCAAGGUGAAUACUUUCCCUGAUAAAUUGUAAACCAUUAAAAACAUGUUUAAAAAUUAUUUUGACUAAUGAGUUUUUGAAGAUUGUAGCAGUUGGAUUAAAAUUUGUGAACUACAUUUCUUAUAUAAAUAUAUUUUUUCUAGUGAGCACCUUCUAGGAUAUGGUCACAUCUUGUGUGUGUGUGUGUGUGUGUGUGUGUAGCAACCUCAAACAUUCAACCCAAAUCCAGAUUAGGUUAGUGGGUACAUGCUUAUCCACAUAGUCUUAUCUUCUUAGGGGAAACCGGAUUACUGUGAAACCAUCAGAUAACACACAAUUCUGAAAAGAAAUGGAAUGUAUUUUUAUUGGUGGAGCCAAGAUGAAGUAUGUCUUGAAAUCUGUUUUACAAAUAAACUUGCACAUAAAUUGUCCAUUCGCUGCUUCGAAAUCUUUUUUCACAUUUGAAGAGCUGUCAGAGGUCCCUAAUAAACAUGAGUCUUAUUUAGUUUACUGGGUAUGUAAUUCUUCUUUUCUUUGAAAAUAAUUAUUUUUCAAGCAAGUGCAGCAAAAAUACAACCAAUAAAAAUCUAGCUAUGACAGCAUAAACAACCUUUAUAGCCAGCAUAUACAUAGAGUUCUUCCAAUAAAAGCGGCUCCUGAUAAGGAAGGGAACAGAACAUUGACUGACUCCUGCCGAGAUCAAGUGCCAGUCUCCUAAGGGUUGACAGUGGGAACCUCACAGCCAGUUCCCACUCCCCUAACCUGGACUUGUCCUUGGCUAUCAGGGUGACCCUUGGGCUAAGAAGAAGAGGGCUGGUCGCUUGGCAGGACCCAGUGUCCAGUUCAUCUCAAUGUGAUUUGGGAGACACCCUUCCCAAGGCCCAUUCCUGGGGCCACCGAAGUUGAUGGACAAUGGGCUGAAAUUCCCUGGAGGGCUCUGGAGAGGCAGGAUGCAGCCUGUCUCCCUCUUGGUUCCACCAUCCCCCGUCCAUGCCAGUGAUCCCUUGGUGAGGGCCAUGCCAGGGUAGGUGGUAGGGCUGGCAUGUGGAGAUGGGAGUGCACGCAGGAGGAUCUGAUCCAGGGAUUCUGCUCUGGGCUUUGGUCAACCUGGUCCUGACCCGUUGGGGCUCCUGGGGAGACCCGCUUGUUGGGGCCAUUCCCAGCCCUGUGCCCAGCCAUGGUCACUGCAGCCCCUGACCACCACCCGGGGCCAUCAGUGCAUGGGCAGAGCCUGAGCCUGCAGUGCGGGGGCUCUGGGGUGUCCCCAGUCCUGUGCUUAGCUGUGGUCACUGCGUCCCUGGCCACGGCCAUGGCCACCUGUGUAGGCAGAGCCGGCAGCACUGGGGCUCUGGCCUCCCUAGUUGGGUGCUGACUCCUCCCAGGGAGCUCCAUGUUAGCAAGUUCCAGCAGACGUGUGGGUGUUCAUUUAUGCUUUUUAUAGUAGCUAGAGAAGAUGUUAUCGCAGCUUGAGAACAGAAAUUAAAAUAUGUAUCCUUCAGGUGCAAAUCUACUGUACUUACAGUUUUACUGUUUCUCUGCAGGGGGCUCCAUUAAUCUUGUAACAGUGAAAUUCCUAAGGAAAUUAAUUCCCUCCAGUUGGGGUUACUCUCAACUGGUCUUUGGGGGUGGAGUAAUUGGAAUUUAACAGUCUCUCUUAGAGGAAAGGAAACAGUGGCCAUUUCACUUGAAUAACAACACUUUUUAAUGCCAUACUUUGCCCAUUAAAAAUGCCUUCUCAUUCUUUCCCUUCCAGUACCCCUUGUGUCUCUCAGCUCCUCUUGUUAGGGUUUACAGAGACCUGGCCAGGCGGGAAUUCACUACCAAGUCCUCGUUUAUGCUCACCAAGUAUUCUCUCCACUCUGGGUUAUUUGUGCACACUAGUACACAGCCCUGUGCCCUGCAGCGGAGUAACACUGGAUUGACCACAGGAAUAAAUGAUGCAUUAUCAAAAGUGCAUGGCUAAAAUAUUCCUUUGCUGGUUUAGGAGCAGUAAAUGUUAGCUGUCGCUACCUGGGAAAAUAAUUACCCCUCAGUGUCUCUCUCUCACACAGACACAUUUUAAAAUGGGGUCUUUAAAAUGGGGUCAAUUCACAGAUGUAGGGUGGAGCGCCUUCGCUGCCAGGAAGGCCCCCUGCAGUCCUGUCUGGUGCUUCCGUUCUCCCAGGCCAAGACUUCACCCUGAGGCCCCCGGAGCCCCAGCUUCCUGAUCCCCAUGCUCCUGGCCUGUGAAGUGCAUACAGCACCCUCGGGGAAACCUAAUUGUCCCACCAGGGCUGUCCUGCUGUCCUGGGAGAGCUGUUCCUGGUUCCUGACCAAGUGAGGCCUGGGAGCCCAGGAGAGGCCCCUGUUCAGAGGGCACUUAAGAUGAAGUGUCACUAGGUUCCCUAGGGGGAUCACCCCACCCCCAAGAGAGAAUAGGACAUGGCUAAAGGAUGCUUCCAUAUGGAGUCAACAGAAGGUCAGCGCCUGGGAUGAACCCACAUUGGGGACACAGGCCAAAAUCAGCCCCAAUAUCUUGCUUUUCUGUUUUUGAGCUUUCCAGCACUAACAGGGAAAGCCAAGUGCAGAGUAUUCUGUAACAGCCAAACCAGUUUAAUUUUCUAAUGACGAGGUUUUCCCUCUGGGCCUGAAAAUGCUUAGAGAGGCCUGGGCUCCCUAGAGUGUUAACGGCAUGCGAUGCCAGAUGGGGUGUGUAGUGGGGCAGGAGAAGAACUUGAGGCAGGAAAGGGAAGGCCCUGGGGAGAGUCCUAGCACUGCCCCUUUCCUGCUGUGGGUCUGGGCAGUUUCCGUGGCUAUACAGUGGCAGUUGGCAGUGAUGGUUUUUACAUUGCCAGCUCAAGGAGCACUGAAUGAUAAAUACAGACAUGUGGCUCUGGCUCACGGCUGAGUGGAGUAGUCUUUGUUUUCCAAGUCAGAGCUUUUUUCUUUUUUUUUUUUUUGGUGAGGAAGACUGUCACUGAGCUAACAUCUAUGCCAAUCUUCCUCUAUUUUGUAUGUGGGACGCUGCCACAGCAUGGCUUGAUGAGCAGUGUGUACGUCUAUGGCUGGGAUCGAAACCCAUGAAUGCUGGGCUGCUGAAGUGGAGCACAUGACCUUAACCCCUAUGCCACUGGGCUGGCCCCAAGUCAGAACAUUUUAAAGCUCAGAGGUCACCUGCUGACCCUUAGGCCUGUUGAUACCAAUAGUGACAACGGCAAAAGGGCAGAAGGCAAAAUGUUAUCUGGGAGUUUCCGUAACAUUUUUUUCUUUUUUAAGUAGGGAACAUGCUUGGCAGCUGGUAUAUGGUACUUUCAGCAAAUUCCAUUUAAAGGAAAAAGUAAGAUUUUUGAAACUGCCCCACGAGAGGAGUGAUUAUGGCUUUUUUGGGAAAAGAUUCACUAUAGCACAUUUCCCUAGUGCAUCACAAUUUCAUUAUUUUUUAAAUUACAAAGCCAGUCCACGAUCUUUGGAAAAAUGCAAAAUGACACUAAGUAGAUAAGGUAAAAAGUGAAGGUCCUCCCUUUAUUUUUUGAGGAAGAUUAGCCCUGAGCUAACAUCUGCUGCCAAUCCUCCUCUUUUUGCUGAGGA
Long non-coding RNA from Equus caballus (horse), 4606 nucleotides. RefSeq lists it as uncharacterized. The record is from RefSeq and is a predicted model, not a curated record. NCBI's taxonomy places the organism in Eukaryota, Metazoa, Chordata, Mammalia, Perissodactyla, Equidae.